Molecule: ribosomal RNA, 465 nt
Filed under: Vreelandella stevensii
Lineage: Bacteria; Pseudomonadati; Pseudomonadota; Gammaproteobacteria; Oceanospirillales; Halomonadaceae
Description: partial 16S ribosomal RNA
Rfam family: Bacterial small subunit ribosomal RNA
Source: RNAcentral
CCUACGGGGAGCUGCAGUGGGGAAUAUUGGACAAUGGGCGAAAGCCUGAUCCAGCCAUGCCGCGUGUGUGAAGAAGGCCUUCGGGUUGUAAAGCACUUUCAGUGGGGAAGAAAGCCUUGGGGCUAAUACCCUCGAGGAAGGACAUCACCCACAGAAGAAGCACCGGCUAACUCCGUGCCAGCAGCCGCGGUAAUACGGAGGGUGCGAGCGUUAAUCGGAAUUACUGGGCGUAAAGCGCGCGUAGGCGGUCUGAUAAGCCGGUUGCGAAAGCCCCGGGCUCAACCUGGGAACGGCAUCCGGAACUGUCAGGCUAGAGUGCAGGAGAGGAAGGUAGAAUUCCCGGUGUAGCGGUGAAAUGCGUAGAGAUCGGGAGGAAUACCAGUGGCGAAGGCGGCCUUCUGGACUGACACUGACGCUGAGGUGCGAAAGCGUGGGUAGCAAACAGGAUUAGAUACCCCUGUAGUC